RNAcentral lists this ribosomal RNA (498 nucleotides) under uncultured bacterium. RNAcentral's name for it is "partial 16S ribosomal RNA". It matches the Rfam family "Bacterial small subunit ribosomal RNA", at positions 30 to 523 of the family's 1533-position model. The record is from RNAcentral.
AUUGAACGCUGGCGGCAUGCCUUACACAUGCAAGUCGAACGGUAACAGGUCUUCGGAUGCUGACGAGUGGCGAACGGGUGAGUAAUACAUCGGAACGUGCCUAGUAGUGGGGGAUAACUACUCGAAAGAGCGGCUAAUACCGCAUGAGAUCUACGGAUGAAAGCAGGGGAUCGCAAGACCUUGUGCUACUUGACCGGCCGAUGGCAGAUUAGGUAGUUGGUGGGAUAAAAGCUUACCAAGCCGACGAUCUGUAGCUGGUCUGAGAGGACGAUCAGCCACACUGGGACUGAGACACGGCCCAGACUCCUACGGGAGGCAGCAGUGGGGAAUUUUGGACAAUGGGCGCAUGCCUGAUCCAGCAAUGCCGCGUGCAGGAUGAAGGCCUUCGGGUUGUAAACUGCUUUUGUACGGAACGAAAAGCCCCGGGUUAAUACCCUGGGGUCAUGACGGUACCGUAAGAAUAAGCACCGGCUAACUACGUGCCAGCCGCCGCGGUAA